GGACCCGUGGUGUAGCGGUUAACAUGCCUGCCUGUCACGCAGGAGAUCGCCGGUUCGAUUCCGGUCGGGUCCGCCA
This 76-nucleotide transfer RNA is filed under the name Pullulanibacillus pueri. RNAcentral's name for it is "tRNA-Asp". It matches the Rfam family "tRNA". Rfam says of the family: Transfer RNA (tRNA) molecules are approximately 80 nucleotides in length. Their secondary structure includes four short double-helical elements and three loops (D, anti-codon, and T loops). The record is from RNAcentral. Lineage: Bacteria; Bacillati; Bacillota; Bacilli; Caryophanales; Sporolactobacillaceae. RNAcentral also lists the same sequence under 1 other name.